ACCAUCAAAAUCCAUUAAAAAUCCAUUAAAAAUUACAACAUUUUUCCAGACAUUGGGGAAGAAGAUAAAGAGCCCCUUUGUUCACUGCUUCGGGAGGAACAAAGUGGUACCUUUCAUACCCAGCUGAAACCGAGGAAUUCGGGGAAGGCCAAUGAUGAUCUGGACAAAUCAGAGAUGAAGAUCAGUUCCAGGAUGAAGGCUGAUGACGAUAUUGCCCAUCCCGUGGCAAAGGCAGACUAUGAUCUGCCGAAUACUACAAAGCCUAAUGAUGUAUCGUCCAACCCCCAGCAUUACACUGGCACUUAUUUCACCGGUGAUGGACUUAGGGCGCACUCACAUUAUCCAAACCAAACCAUGCCCCAGCACGAUUGUCACGCCUCCCUACUCCCCCAGGUGCACGCACUCACACUGUACUUUUUAUCGAUCCGAGUUCGGGCGUGCUUUCGUCAUUAAGAUGCGAUUGUUUUGAAAAAAGGAGGAAGUAAAGCUCUCUCUUAACCCUGGAACCCACCGUAAUGAUAAGUCUGUUCGUUUGGUGUCGUUUGUCGUUUGGUGCGCGAUUACAGACAGCCCUCUCAAAUGUCAUCAUAUUGCUUAGUUGAUCUGUCACAUGCGCAGCGCGUACAUUCACGUAACCCCGCUGCGCGCAUCAAAAGGUUUGUACGGAGGCAGAUGAAGGUGAGUGGUUGCGCAAGUGACGUCUUCACCUUUUGAAAAUGAGCCCAAGUGAACCGCACUCUGGCCCACCUCUGCAACCCGGCCGCGGCGCGAUUAACCAAUCCGCGCCCGGGCGCGGAACAGAGCGAUCACACUAGUCAAACAAACCAGGCUUUGGGUGUCAAACGCGCCCGAGCGCGGUUUGGUUUGGUUUGGAUAGUGUGAGUGCGCCCUUAAGGCUACCGAUGACCAAGCCUUAAUGAAGCUGGGGACAGAGAAACGUCUGACCAAUUUCGGCUUGAACUCUGAUCCCAGUUCAGCCGAGCCUCAGAUGACUGCCAUUUAUUUGGUCAGCGACGAAACAACCUUUACUAUCUUGAGGGCAGACACCAGUCUGCAUAUUUUGGAUUUUUGCGAAGACGAUUCAGUCAAUACCGUGCUGAAUGCUCGCACCAACCCUGCCAAUCCCAAGCCAAAGAAGCCAACCUCAUCUACUAGCGAUGAGGUGCUUGGGGCGAUUGGCUUUACCAGGAGGAUGUUCCAAGAAAGAGAAGACUCCGGUGGCAAACAGGUAACAAAAUCAAAUUUCUUUCAGCAAACAUUGUGUUCUUUACAUAAAGAUUUAUGUUUAUUAAAAACAUUAACCGAGUUAACCGAUUGUAUGAAUUUAUCAGGUAGAUCUUGUCAGCUUUAUCAUUUUAAAAGUAGAUUUAAUGUUUAUGCUUAAAAAAGUGCAUAUAGCUGCUAAUUGUAUUUGUUGUUUGCUGAUUUUCAAAAAUAAAACUUGUUAAAAUGUUUUCAGUGUGUGUAUCAGUUCUUUUUGAACAUUUCCAUCUCAAUUUAAGAAAACCAUGAUAAUAUUGAUAACCGUGAUAACUUUGGUCACUAUAAUCAUGAUAUGAAAUUUUCUAACCGUCCCAUCCCUACUUGCAAGUAUAUUUUUCAUGUUUCUUUCUGUAUUUGCAGGUCACCAUCAAGCAAGUUUCAAAAUGGACCCGUAACCCUUGCAUUGAUAUUAAGUCUGACAAUAAUCCAGGCGAUGCCAAAUUAAAGACUGGCACCAUUCCCAAGGCAAAGGCUGGCACCGGUGUUGGCAAUCCAGUUCGAAAACCUAUUGUUGUUCCAUGUAGACAGACAACAAACCUGCAGUUCCCAAGAAGACGGCUUGUUUUCAUCCACGUGAUACCGAGGUGAAAGCAGAUAGCGAGGAGGUCGAUCCGGCACACAGUGAGUCUACUGUUAUGAUUACUCUAAAUUGGUGGAUCUUAAUCGUUUUGAUGGCCUCUUAUUUUCCACAGAAAUAUUUGACAGCUCCUCUACUCACCAUAUAGAAAUAUACAGAUAUGUUUUAGCUUAUUUCAUUGCUUGUUUUAUCUUGUUUUAAAUC
This is a non-coding RNA of Misgurnus anguillicaudatus (oriental weatherfish), 2044 nucleotides long. The record is from RefSeq and is a predicted model, not a curated record. Lineage: Eukaryota; Metazoa; Chordata; Actinopteri; Cypriniformes; Cobitidae.